AGCACCUUUAAAUCAGUCCCGUGAGGCUGGCAAGGUAACGUGAACGAGGUUUGCGUAGGGUUCCUCUAACUGUGUGCGGCACAGUUAUGGUUUCUUUCUGCACACCUUUGGACAGUCGCGACAGUAGGUUCGCGGCUAGAGAACUCCUUGCCUGGAAUGGGCGAGGAGUUUUUUUAU
Paenibacillus yonginensis is the source of this 177-nucleotide regulatory RNA element. It matches the Rfam family "PyrR binding site". Rfam says of the family: This family represents the PyrR binding site and terminator structure. This RNA structure is found upstream of a variety of genes involved in pyrimidine biosynthesis and transport. NCBI's taxonomy places the organism in Bacteria, Bacillati, Bacillota, Bacilli, Caryophanales, Paenibacillaceae. The record is from Rfam.